Molecule: small RNA, 768 nt
Filed under: Malus domestica (apple)
Lineage: Eukaryota; Viridiplantae; Streptophyta; Magnoliopsida; Rosales; Rosaceae
Description: sRNA MD17G0078500
Source: RNAcentral
ACGCUCUCUCUCUAGAAUCAUCUCCAUUUUUUUUCUCCUUCCCGUCCAACUGCCUCUCUGUCUCUCUCUUUCUUCACUUUUUCUCUCAUCACCAAAUUCCAAUCUUUUCGCCACUUUCUCCCUCAUCAUCAAAGAUCUUUGGUAGAGAUAAAGCUGGGAGGAGCAGAAAAGGGAUGAUAGAGAUGAAGGGAGAAGCUUCCUCCGAGAAAUUGGAGAAGCUUCUUAAAUUUCGAAGCUGAUUUUGUACUACGACGAUCUGGUGAAGGUGUUGAAGGACUAAAGGGACAUCAACAACUUGGCACACUGUCUCCAGCAUCGCAAGGCCCUCCGCUCCUCCUGCGAUUCCGAUUUCAAUGAAGUCCAUAACUCGCUUUGAGCUUUGCCUAAUUUCGAAGUAUAAAAAGAUGGGGGAGAUUGCAACUCAGAAACAUGUUGAAUUCAUUGUAUCGGUCGAAAAGGUCUACUUUUUGUUCAAAUAAAGUUUCCAUGCUUUCGGUUUGUAGUAUGAAGCUAAGAGUUACAAUAUGAAAACGCUGUACUCAGAGGAAGGAUUCUUUUGCUGUGGUGGUGAUGGAGCAUAUAAAAAUGAGUGGAGCAUACUGGUGUUGAAUUCGUAGUGCACUUUGUGUUAAAUUUCAGAUGCCGGAUCCUAUUUGCAUGCAUUUGCAUGUAUUGAUUCAUUAAAUCAUUGAUUAAUCUGUUAUGAAAGACGAUAUAAUUUUAUAUCAAUUUUUUAUUUUUGUUGCAUUUGUCUGUGUUGAUACUAAU